Molecule: small RNA, 100 nt
Filed under: Pongo abelii (Sumatran orangutan)
Lineage: Eukaryota; Metazoa; Chordata; Mammalia; Primates; Hominidae
Description: processed transcript
Source: RNAcentral
CUUCGCAGUUGUCCCGGGUUGCAGGAAAGGGCAAAACACAGAAUCACAGGCUCUUCCCAAAUGAGAGGAGAAGGCCCUGCUUGAGGAAGUAGAGACUUGG